Molecule: ribosomal RNA, 355 nt
Filed under: Axinella polypoides
Lineage: Eukaryota; Metazoa; Porifera; Demospongiae; Axinellida; Axinellidae
Description: eukaryotic LSU rRNA
Rfam family: Eukaryotic large subunit ribosomal RNA
Source: RNAcentral
ACCCGCUGAAUUUAAGCAUAUCAAUAAGCGGUGGAAGAGAAACUAACCAGGAUUCCCGCAGUAACGGCGAGCGAAGUGGGAAGAGCUCGAGCCUGUAAUCUCUGGCUGCCAGCGAAUUGUGGCCGGGAGAGGUGGCUUGGUGGCGUCAAAGUUGACCUGGAAGGGCACGUCGUAGAGGGUGAGAACCCCUGAGAGUCGGGUUGUUUGGGAAUGCAGCCCAAAGUGGGUGGUAAACUCCAUCUAAAGCUAAAUACGGACACGAAACCGAUAGCGAACAAGUACCAUGAGGGAAAGGUGAAAAGUACUUUGAAAAGAGAGUCAAAGAGACCGCGAAACCGUUAGGAGGGAAACGAAU